UACGAAGGGGGCUAGCGAUGUUCGGAAUUACUGGGCGUAAAGCGCACGCAGGCGGAUUGAUAAGUCAGGGGUGAAAUCCCGUGGCUUAACCUCGGAAUUGCCUUUGAUACUGUCUGUCUUGAGUCCGGGAGAGGUGAGUGGAAUUCCUAGUGUAGAGGUGAAAUUCGUAGAUAUUAGGAAGAACACCAGUGGCGAAGGCGGCUCACUGGCCCGGAACUGACGGUCAUGUGCGAAAGCGUGGGGAGCAAACAGG
This 253-nucleotide ribosomal RNA is filed under the name uncultured bacterium. RNAcentral describes it as "partial 16S ribosomal RNA". It matches the Rfam family "Bacterial small subunit ribosomal RNA", at positions 524 to 776 of the family's 1533-position model. The record is from RNAcentral.